This is a non-coding RNA of Schistosoma curassoni, 45 nucleotides long. The record is from Rfam. NCBI's taxonomy places the organism in Eukaryota, Metazoa, Platyhelminthes, Trematoda, Strigeidida, Schistosomatidae.
AUCCAGCUGACGAGUCCCAAAUAGGACGAAACGCGCGAUUUGGAU